Molecule: long non-coding RNA, 782 nt
Filed under: Marmota monax (woodchuck)
Lineage: Eukaryota; Metazoa; Chordata; Mammalia; Rodentia; Sciuridae
Source: RNAcentral
CCAGAUAACACCAUACUAGCUUUUAAAAAAAGGGAAAAAUUGUAGAUGGACACAAUCUUUAUUUAUUAUGUGGUGCCGAGGAUAGAACCCAGUGCCUCACACCUCUCAUGUGCAAGGCACGUGCUCUACCACUGAGCCCCAGCCUCAGUCCCAUAGUAGCUUUUUUGGUGAGUCAAACCCCAACACUAACUUGGGUACUGAUGUGAAGCCAUUAGAUAGCAUUAAUUAAUCCCCAUCAGAUGACUUCAAUUAAGGGAGAUUAUCCAGAGUAAUCCAAGCAGCUGAUUCAGUCAGUCAAAAGCAUUUAAAAGCAAGAUUGAGGUGCCCUCCAAGAAAUCUGACCCAGGACAGCAGCUUUCAGUGGUGUCAUGAGUCUUAGUCACAUGAACCAAUUCCAGAAAGUAAAUUAAAUGUGUGAAUUUAAGAACCCAAUGGCUUCUGCUGGCACCUGGAUAAGGCUAACUUUAAAGAUAAGCCACAAAAAUGGCCAUUAACAUUCAAGGUCAAGAGGCUAGACACCUGUGGAAAUCUGAGGCGCACCCAUUAAGUCCUCUCUAAGACACAAUUAGGAAGCUAGGCCUGCCACUUUUCUGACUGUAGAUAACUCUGAGCAACGUGACCUCUCUGAACCCUGGGGUUUGGCAAAUGAGAAUGGCAGAUGCCUGCUAGUGACUGACACAUAGCCCUGGCAUUCCUAGACUGGAGAUAGAGUUCUGUGGAACAGCACUUGCCUAAUAUGCUUAAGGUGCUGGGCUGGAUCCUCAGUACUAUAAGAAUAAAAC